Penaeus monodon (black tiger shrimp) is the source of this 728-nucleotide long non-coding RNA. RefSeq lists it as uncharacterized. The transcript is spliced from 3 exons. NCBI's taxonomy places the organism in Eukaryota, Metazoa, Arthropoda, Malacostraca, Decapoda, Penaeidae. The record is from RefSeq and is a predicted model, not a curated record.
CAGUGAGGGAAAGUCAGGGGGAGAGUGGAGACAAGUGAUUAUGCACGCCUCCAGCGCACACAAGAGGAGAAGCUAACCCGGGAAAUAAUGAUACUCUGAAGAAAUGAACUGAAUCAAUUUGCAAUCGGGAAAUUUACCUUCGAAAAAAAGAAGCUUAUGAUGAGUAGGCCACUUUAAUGAUAUAGAGAAAAAGUGUGAUGUUUUAGAAGGAAAAAGUAAAGAAAUGCAUGAAGAAAAAAAGAAGAGAAAAUACAUGUAAUUAUCUUUAUUCGAUUUUCUGCGAAGUGCAUAUAAUAAAUUGAGAUCUGUUUCAGAAAUUAAGUGAAGUAAGUAGUGGUGAAAAAUCUGUCUGUGAAAUACAAAAAUAAAAAAUAUAUACCUGGUGUUGAAAAUAUAAGCGGAUAAUAGUAAUUAAGAAAUCAAUAAUAAUAACAGCAAACAUUAUUCGAAAUAAUAAUAAACAAUACCACCAAUAACAGCAACAGUCGAUCAACAGUAAGAAUAAACAGUAGAUUAAGAACUUCCUCAAUUAACGAAAAAGGAAAAAAAAAAUCAACAUGGGCGUGGAUGAAAUUAAGCCGUUCAUCUCGGACCCGAACCCGCCUCGCAUCGCUCCCGGGUGUACAGAAGAUCGAGUUAGCAUCUCAGGAACUCAAAAUGGAAGGAUUUUAUUUAAGUCGCAUGACCUUCGAUGAGAGACAUGCGAAUUCCUUCUUAGGGUAUAGAAA